CCUGAAGGAACGUUGAAGACGACGACGUUGAUAGGUCGGGUGUGUAAGCGCAGCGAUGCGUUGAGCUAACCGGUACUAAUGAACCGUGAGGCUUAACCUUACAACGCCGAAG
This 112-nucleotide ribosomal RNA is filed under the name Escherichia coli. RNAcentral's name for it is "partial 23S ribosomal RNA". The stretch from base 1 to 100 matches the Rfam family "Bacterial large subunit ribosomal RNA", at positions 2826 to 2925 of the family's 2925-position model. Lineage: Bacteria; Pseudomonadati; Pseudomonadota; Gammaproteobacteria; Enterobacterales; Enterobacteriaceae. The record is from RNAcentral.